CGUUCCCGGACCUUGUACACACCGCCCGUCAAGCCAUGGAAGUUGGGAGGACCUGAAGACAGUUGCUGCAAGGCGCUGUUUAGGGUUAAACCGAUGACUGGGGCUAAGUCGUAACAAGGUACCC
Molecule: ribosomal RNA, 124 nt
Filed under: uncultured bacterium
Lineage: Bacteria
Description: partial 16S ribosomal RNA
Rfam family: Bacterial small subunit ribosomal RNA
Source: RNAcentral